This 72-nucleotide transfer RNA is filed under the name Rivularia sp. (in: cyanobacteria). RNAcentral's name for it is "tRNA-Thr". It matches the Rfam family "tRNA". Rfam says of the family: Transfer RNA (tRNA) molecules are approximately 80 nucleotides in length. Their secondary structure includes four short double-helical elements and three loops (D, anti-codon, and T loops). The record is from RNAcentral. RNAcentral also lists the same sequence under 7 other names. Lineage: Bacteria; Bacillati; Cyanobacteriota; Cyanophyceae; Nostocales; Rivulariaceae.
GCCGAUGUAGCUCAGUGGUAGAGCACACCCUUGGUAAGGGUGAGGUCACGAGUUCGAAUCUCGUCAUCGGCU